This 337-nucleotide unclassified non-coding RNA is filed under the name soil metagenome. Its description in RNAcentral is "partial contains 5.8S ribosomal RNA, internal transcribed spacer 2, and large subunit ribosomal RNA". The stretch from base 1 to 120 matches the Rfam family "5.8S ribosomal RNA", at positions 35 to 154 of the family's 154-position model. The record is from RNAcentral.
GAUGAAGAACGUAGCGAAAUGCGAUAAGUAAUGUGAAUUGCAGAAUUCAGUGAAUCAUCGAAUCUUUGAACGCACAUUGCGCCCGCCAGCAUUCUGGCGGGCAUGCCUGUUCGAGCGUCAUUUCAACCCUCAAGCUCUGCUUGGUGUUGGGGCCCUACGGUUGACGUAGGCCCUUAAAGGUAGUGGCGGACCCUCUCGGAGCCUCCUUUGCGUAGUAACUAACGUCUCGCACUGGGAUUCGGAGGGACUCUUGCCGUAAAACCCCCAAAUUUUUAAAGGUUGACCUCGGAUAAGGUAGGAAUACCCGCUGAACUUAAGCAUAUCAAUAAGCGGAGGA